AUUGAACGCUGGCUGCAGGCUUAACACAUGCAAGUCGAACGAGUGGCGGACGGGUGAGUAAUGCUUGGGAAUCUGUCUUCUGGAGGGGGAUAACUACGGGAAACUGUAGCUAAUACCGCAUACCAUCGGAUGUGCCCAAGGGGGAUUAGGUAGUUGGUGGGGUAAAGGCUCACCAAGCCGACGAUCUCUAGCUGGUAUGAGAGGAUGACCAGCAACACGGGGACUGAGACACGGCCCAGACUCCUACGGGAGGCAGCAGUGGGGAAUAUUGCACAAGGGGCGCAAGCCUGAUGCAGCCAUGCCGCGUGUAUGAAGAAGGCCGGCGGGUGGUAAAGUACUUUCAGUGGGGAGGCGUUACCCGCAGAAGAAGCACCGGCUAACUCCGUGCCAGCAGCCGCGGGAAUAC
This 406-nucleotide ribosomal RNA is filed under the name uncultured bacterium. Its description in RNAcentral is "partial 16S ribosomal RNA". It matches the Rfam family "Bacterial small subunit ribosomal RNA", at positions 29 to 526 of the family's 1533-position model. The record is from RNAcentral.